UACGGAGGGGGCUAGCGUUGUUCGGAAUUACUGGGCGUAAAGCGCGCGCAGGCGGCCCUUUAAGUCUACCCGUGAAAUGCCGGAGCUCAACUCCGUGCACGCCGGGGGAUACUGGAGGGCUGGAGACAGGUAGAGGCAGGCGGAAUUCCGGGUGUAGCGGUGGAAUGCGUAGAGAUCCGGAAGAACACCAGAGGCGAAGGCGGCCUGCUGGGCCUUGUCUGACGCUGAGGCGCGAAAGCGUGGGGAGCAAACAGG
RNAcentral lists this ribosomal RNA (255 nucleotides) under uncultured bacterium. RNAcentral describes it as "partial 16S ribosomal RNA". It matches the Rfam family "Bacterial small subunit ribosomal RNA", at positions 524 to 776 of the family's 1533-position model. The record is from RNAcentral.